GCCAACGAAAAUACUACCAGCAAACUCUUUCUCCCCCGAUCCGGGUGACACGGGGGCAGAUAACCUAGCGCCGCCCCUUCUCCACUAUACGCCCUCCCACGUCUUGCCGCCGCCAUAGGUGGCCGCCGGCGAAGCUCAGCUGGCUCCGAGGACGGCGGCGGCGGGCUGUUUCUCCAGCUGAGCUACUCCUUCUAUCUGCGGAGGGCAGGUGGCUGAGGCCGUCGGCAGGCGCUCGGGUGACGGAUCUGCGAGUAGGGGGUGCAGGCGGCUGUCCUGAGGUGGUGGUGCCGGCGGCGGCGCAUGGGGCUGACCUCCGGUGGUCGCGCGACGGCAGCGGCUGGGCGGGCCAGAUCUGGCCCCGCCAGGGCCGGCGUCUCUCUUUCAUUUUACUCUGUUGUCAUUUGGUUUUGUUUGCACGAUGCAUAUACGUUAAUUAACAGUUAACACUGCUGGACUUGGCCAGGAGUGAUUCGAUGGAGGAUGACGAGUGGACAAGUCUUGGCGUGGCUGGACGCUCUUAGCUCCAUGAGGAGGACGGAAGUGGAUCCUCUAACAUACACAAGGAAUGUUAGAGAAGCUACAGUACCCUAACUUUCCUUCUGUUAAUCCAUACAAUUAAGUCUAAAAUAACUUAAAUUAUUUUUUAAAUUACAGAUCUAGUAUGCACAUUCAUAGUAAUUACAUACAAACAAGUUGAUGGUGAGAUAAAGUUAAUUUUAGAUUUUUUAUAUCUACAGUAAUUACCAAAAGUAAAUAACUUGCUAAUAGUCCGUAACAUUCCUUCUUCAUUUUACACUAGACGCGCACUGUAGCACCGUGACAUCCCUUCUCUAAGUUAGAGGAUCCGGCUCCGAGGAGGACAUACUUGAUCCCCAUGGACGCCAAGGAGGCUAGGAUACAGGCAGAGGUAGAGGAGGCAAGGAUGAAGGAGACGGCCGCUGCGCAAAAUUUGAAUAAACUAGAAAUAUCCUGGAAACUUUAAUAUUUGGAGUAUCAAAUUCAGUUUUUUUCUUUGAAUACAUCCUUAAAAUCACUAAGCUCCCUGGGAUUGGAGCUCCUAGGGAUGAUUGAGGUGAUCGAUUUGGUUUGUGUCGUCGAUUUUGACUGGGCCAUUGGUUUCAUGGAAACUUUUUAGUUGACAGCCACGUAUGUUCAUGUUUUUAUACAUAUCUACUGGAGAAAACAUUGUACAUCUUAUGGUGAUUAGAACAAGUACUUCGCUUAUGUAUGGAGAUUUGGUACUCCCUCCGUUUUUAUUUAGUUCGCAUAUUAGUUUUGGUCAAAGUCAAGUUUUGUAAACUUUGACAAAGUUUCUAAACAAAAAUAUUAACAUAUACAAUAACAAAUCAAUACCAUUAGAUUCAUUAUUUAUUAUACUUUCACGUCAUAUAGAUUUGAUAUGGUAAAUGCUUAUAUUGUUUUCUAUAAACUUGAUCAAACUUUACGAAGUUUGACUUCAGUCAAAUCUAAUACGCGAACUAAAUAAAACGGAGGGAGUAUAUGCUUAGGUUAGGUUAUGUUUCUGUUUCUCUCCCCUUAAUUAUUUAUUUUGAGAAACGCACAGUAGUAGUAGUAUGCAGAUUAGAUAUAUGUUUAGGCCAUGUCCUUUUAGUAUAACUCUCUCUCUCUCUCAGCCAUUUUUUUUUUCAAUUUGCCCAGCUUAUGCUUUUAGAGAGGUAUGUUGGUAGAAAUAAGCUUCUUAAAAAAGCAUAUAGUUGCGUUCUUCUUUUGUCACCAAUAGUAAGCACUAAAAAUCAAACAAAACUCAGCCCUUCAUUUUGGGUUUAACAACGAGCAUAGUCCUACAAUCCACUUAGGAAAGUUGAGCUUGUAGGAUUGUUAUGUGCUUUUAAAUAAGUAACCAUACAUACAUAUUAUUUUGUUUGCCAUUUAGAAUUAAAAACUGGUAAAGAUAAGUAUUUAUUCAUAUUCUUGCUCUUUUUAUAUAUAUGUUCAUGCCAUAUUUCAUUAAAUGUUAAAAGUUCAUUCAUAUUCUUGCUCAUUUUACAUGGAUGUUCAUGUCAUACCACCAAAUGCAGGGUAGAAGCAGUUUUUCCCAGAGCACUAAAUGUGGGAGGUGAUUUAGGUAGCAUGUGCGCCUUCACGGUCACUAGAAGAUCCAGGGAACAAAAUGCCGGUUAGUUACUUUCUGAACCUCAAACUUCUUAUGUAAUGUAUCUUCUGUACCCUUAUAUGUUAGAAAAAUGUAUAGCUUACAUUCUCUCCUUAGAUGGUCAACUAACAGGGAUUAUAUCUGUUAAGGAUAUUCCUACCAGAAAACUUAUAUGGAUAAUUAGAGAAGAUAAUAUUAAAAACCAGUAUAAUGCAGCUAGCUACGAGCCUCCACAGCGAUUUGACUGUCUCAGCCAUCGGAUCCUUGAACCUGUGAUCCAGAUCAAACUUGGUCGUCCCAGGUCGUCUGCGCGCUGCACGCACCGUUUCGCGGGACGCUUAUCCGCAGAACGACCUGCUUUUUUUUUUCCUCAAUCGGGCCGUCCAAGGCCCACUUCUUUCCAGUUCGAUGGUAACAGCCCACGUUCCGGUGCUAUCCCUCCUAUCCAGCUGAACAAUUUCUCCGUUCCUCCGUGCCACCGUUUGUUCCUCCUCGAUGAGCCGGCGUUCCUUCCUCCUCGAUGCGCCGGCGUUCUGCCAUGGGCGAGCUUGUGCUGCGUGACUACCUCUGCACCGGUCUGGUCCACCCACCCUCUACUCUUCCACCUAGCCUCUUCCUUGUUGCAUCUGCUCCUUCCUACGCGAGGCGUCGCCUUUUCUUCCUCCGCGAUGCACCACCGCUGUCGGCUUCCAUGGCUGGUUGUCCUUUUCUUGCAUCCGCCUUCAUGCCUUGCAGCUGUACCGCACGCCCCUUUCCCUCGCAUAACCGAAGCUGAAACUGCCGCAUGAAAGGUCUACUGUCUACCUCCUGAGAUAAUUGUGAUGAUGGUAAUUAACUUCAGGGGUGAUGGUGGUGAUUAAUUUUCCUCAUAUAUAUGCCUCACAUAAUCCCUUCCUUCCUGCCUUGCGCGCCGUCUCUCGGCUGUGCCUGUUGCUUACUUUUGUUCUUGCCGACCAUCCAUCUUUCUCCCUCUAAUCCCCCUCCAUAUGUACGUAUCUACGGAACUGACUUGCUAUUCGUCCUUGCAGGUUCGCCAGCAGCUGGUCCUUAGAUUGGUUGCCUCUCCUGGUACNNN
Molecule: long non-coding RNA, 3188 nt
Filed under: Triticum aestivum (bread wheat)
Lineage: Eukaryota; Viridiplantae; Streptophyta; Magnoliopsida; Poales; Poaceae
Description: long non-coding RNA (TAES_LNC007542)
Source: RNAcentral